AGCGAACGCUGGCGGCAGGCCUAACACAUGCAAGUCGAACGAACCUUUCGGGGUUAGUGGCGGACGGGUGGGUAACACGUGGGAACGUGCCUUUAGGUUCGGAAUAACUCAGGGAAACUUGUGCUAAUACCGAAUGUGCCCUUCGGGGGAAAGAUUAAUCGCCUUUAGAGCGGCCCGCGUCUGAUUAGCUAGUUGGUUGAGGUAAUGGCUCACCAAGGCGACGAUCAGUAGCUGGUCUGAGAGGAUGAUCAGCCACAUUGGGACUGAGACACGGCCCAAACUCCUACGGGAGGCAGCAGUGGGGAAUCUUGCGCAAUGGGCGAAAGCCUGACGCAGCCAUGCCGCGUGAAUGAUGAAGGUCUUAGGAUUGUAAAAUUCUUUCACCGGGGACGAUAAUGACGGUACCCGGAGAAGAAGCCCCGGCUAACUUCGUG
Molecule: ribosomal RNA, 434 nt
Filed under: uncultured bacterium
Lineage: Bacteria
Description: partial 16S ribosomal RNA
Rfam family: Bacterial small subunit ribosomal RNA
Source: RNAcentral